This 407-nucleotide ribosomal RNA is filed under the name uncultured bacterium. RNAcentral's name for it is "partial 16S ribosomal RNA". It matches the Rfam family "Bacterial small subunit ribosomal RNA", at positions 28 to 526 of the family's 1533-position model. The record is from RNAcentral.
GACGAACGCUGGCGGCGUGCUUAACACAUGCAAGUCGAACGAAGUGGCGAACGGGUGAGUAAUACGUGGGAACCUGCCUGGUAGUGGGGGAUAACGUCCGGAAACGGGCGCUAAUACCGCAUACUAUCAGAUGAGCCUAGGUGGGAUUAGCUAGUUGGUGGGGUAAAGGCCUACCAAGGCGACGAUCCGUAACUGGUCGGAGAGGAUGAUCAGGCAAACUGGAACGUAGACACGGUCCAGACUCCUACGGGAGGCAGCAGUGGGGAAUAUUGGACAAUGGGCGAAAGCCUGAUCCAGACAUGCCGCAUGUGUGAAGAAGGUCUUCGGAUUGUAAAGCACGUUAAGUUGGGAGGCGUUACCAACAGAAUAAGCACCGGCUAACUUCGUGCCAGCAGCCGCGGUAAUUC